This 400-nucleotide ribosomal RNA is filed under the name uncultured bacterium. RNAcentral's name for it is "bacterial SSU rRNA". It matches the Rfam family "Bacterial small subunit ribosomal RNA", at positions 64 to 507 of the family's 1533-position model. The record is from RNAcentral.
GAGCGGGUGUAGCAAUACACCAGCGGCAGACGGGUGAGUAACGCGUGGGAACGUACCUUUUGGUUCGGAACAACCCCAGGGAAACUUGGGCUAAUACCGGAUAAGCCCUUACGGGGAAAGAUUUAUCGCCGAAAGAUCGGCCCGCGUCUGAUUAGCUAGUUGGUGAGGUAAUGGCUCACCAAGGCGACGAUCAGUAGCUGGUCUGAGAGGAUGAUCAGCCACAUUGGGACUGAGACACGGCCCAAACUCCUACGGGAGGCAGCAGUGGGGAAUAUUGGACAAUGGGCGCAAGCCUGAUCCAGCCAUGCCGCGUGAGUGAUGAAGGCCCUAGGGUUGUAAAGCUCUUUUGUGCGGGAAGAUAAUGACGGUACCGCAAGAAUAAGCCCCGGCUAACUUCGUG